GGGCUUUCCCUUCGGGGACAGAGUGACAGGUGGUGCAUGGUUGUCGUCAGCUCGUGUCGUGAGAUGUUGGGUUAAGUCCCGCAACGAGCGCAACCCUUGAUCUUAGUUGCCAGCAUUCAGUUGGGCACUCUAAGGUGACUGCCGGUGACAAACCGGAGGAAGGUGGGGAUGACGUCAAAUCAUCAUGCCCCUUAUGACCUGGGCUACACACGUGCUACAAUGGACAGAACAAAGGGCUGCGAGACCGCAAGGUUUAGCCAAUCCCACAAAUCUGUUCUCAGUUCGGAUCGCAGUCUGCAACUCGACUGCGUGAAGCUGGAAUCGCUAGUAAUCGCGGAUCAGCAUGCCGCGGUGAAUACGUUCCCGGGUCUUGUACACACCGA
Molecule: ribosomal RNA, 383 nt
Filed under: Bacillus pumilus
Lineage: Bacteria; Bacillati; Bacillota; Bacilli; Caryophanales; Bacillaceae
Description: bacterial SSU rRNA
Rfam family: Bacterial small subunit ribosomal RNA
Source: RNAcentral